GAUGAACGCUGGCGGCGUGCCUAAUACAUGCAAGUAGAACGCUGAAGGAGGAGCUUGCUCUUCUGGAUGAGUUGCGAACGGGUGAGUAACGCGUAGGUAACCUGCCUGGUAGCGGGGGAUAACUAUUGGAAACGAUAGCUAAUACCGCAUGACAACAGUUAUUGCAUGAUAACUGUUUAAAAGGGGCAACUGCUCCACUACCAGAUGGACCUGCGUUGUAUUAGCUAGUUGGUGAGGUAACGGCUCACCAAGGCGACGAUACAUAGCCGACCUGAGAGGGUGAUCGGCCACACUGGGACUGGGACACGGCCCAGAAUCCUACGGGAGGCAGCAGGAGGGAAUCUUCGGCAAUGGACGGAAGUCUGACCGAGCAACGCCGCGUGAGUGAAGAAGGGUGUCGGAUCGGAAAGCUCUGUUGUAAGAGAAGAACGAGUGUGAGAGUGGAAAGUUCACACUGUGACGGUAUCUUACCAGAAAGGGACGGCUAACUACGUG
RNAcentral lists this ribosomal RNA (495 nucleotides) under uncultured bacterium. Its description in RNAcentral is "partial 16S ribosomal RNA". It matches the Rfam family "Bacterial small subunit ribosomal RNA", at positions 28 to 507 of the family's 1533-position model. The record is from RNAcentral.